This 439-nucleotide unclassified non-coding RNA is filed under the name Hevea brasiliensis (rubber tree). Lineage: Eukaryota; Viridiplantae; Streptophyta; Magnoliopsida; Malpighiales; Euphorbiaceae. The record is from RNAcentral.
GCAAGAGCAAGGAGUGCAGAAAGCACACCUUGCACAAGGUUACACAAUAUAAGAAGGGAAAGGAUAGUCUUGCUGCACAGGGUAAGCGUCGGUACGAUCGCAAGCAAUCAGGAUAUGGAGGUCAGACCAAGCCUGUGUUUCACAAGAAGGCAAAAACUACCAAGAAGAUUGUGUUGAGGCUGCAAUGCCAAGGGUGCAAACAUGUAUCCCAGCACCCAAUCAAGAGAUGCAAGCACUUCGAAAUUGGUGGAGACAAGAAGGGAAAGGGAACUUCUCUUUUCUAGACCCUUUGUCAGUUUUUAUCUUUUGUCAUUUCUUUUUCACAAGAUUAUUUGUUAUUGGAGUUCUUGCACCAUUACUCUGUGUUCAGCAAUUAGUUCUACGUGCUGUAAUGAUACUGUUUAGCUGAAACUCUCAUGUCUUAAUUAUUGAAUUGCCA